Long non-coding RNA from Mesoplodon densirostris (Blainville's beaked whale), 1753 nucleotides. RefSeq lists it as uncharacterized. The transcript has 4 exons. The record is from RefSeq and is a predicted model, not a curated record. NCBI's taxonomy places the organism in Eukaryota, Metazoa, Chordata, Mammalia, Artiodactyla, Ziphiidae.
GGCUUCUCUGAGACACAGGCGUGCUUUAGCUGUGAGUUUUUCCUUACGGAAAGGAAGACAUUCUUGAGCAGUGUAUUUCCUCCCCUGCUGGGGGGAGACUGUGAUUGCUGCCGGCCGGAACUUUGCGAUUAAACAGGAUUACAAAAACCAGCCUCAACUGCGGCGGAGUGAGAGGCUGAGGGUAUAACCUUACGCUAACAGGAGAGCUGACGGGCCUCACGAGCUUGUGCGAGGUUUCUUCGCCUUUGGCUGUUGGGUGUGGUUGUCAGGGCUUCGUGUACAUGUACGAGAGCUGCAGCAUCUCUGGGACCCUUAAAGGCAGAGCAUCACAGGACGGGCCGUACCUCUCACCACCUGGAUGAGCUGGUGGAAGUUAGGGACGCAGCAAAGGAGAUGCUGAAUGAUAGCGUCGUAUAGAAAUUCUCCGGGGAAAUGAGACCUUUUAGGUCGUCCUCCCGAGUCAAAAUCCAGAAAACAAUUCAGAACUUUCGUGCAAUUAAGCUGAGAUACCCAGAGGCUGGCAGCGUUUCCCCUGUGUCCUGGGAGCGCCCCACGAGCUGUGUCCUGAAUGUCUGCAUCUCAGGGCCCGCCCUAUGCUGACUGAUGACGUGUGAGGUUGUGAAGGGCCGAGGGAUGAGUGAACAGGUGACCCUGUGUCUCCCGCUCCCACCUGGUCGUGGGUCCCGUAGGGAGCCCGGUGAGGACGAGUUACCCACUGGACACACAGCCUGCACCUCUCUCUGUCCAGCUUUGCCCCCGAUCAGGUGAGUCUAGAAGCCAUUCAGAAUCCGGCAUUUCAGCCACCUCCUCACCUGGGUCAUGCCCGAGGAUGCCUCCGCCCCGGCAGAUUCGUUGUGGGCACAGACUUCUGGAAACCACUGCACGUGAUACCGACUGACACCGGGAUCUGUAAGGUCAACACCAAUCAGCAAAAAAGAACAGUCUGCAAGUCACAGUGCACGCAGCCCCAAGUUCUUAAAGCACGACAGACCAGGAAGGACGGACAGAGUCCUGCAGGUGAUCCAGAACUGCGUACACCAACCAGAGGAGGCUAUAAGAGAGACUCGUCUCAAGUCUCUGAAUCCUACGUUUUUCUGACGAAGCUGAUGGAGAGGCUGUCAAGCCCAGGCAGGAACACAAGCCUUUCCCUCAACUUGAAGACCUGGCCCUUCAGAUGUGCCCUGUCUCAAGCCUUGCUGUGACAGGGUCCCCUCACCAGAAGAUACAGGGUGAACAGCCUCCCGGAGCCUUACGUAUGCGGGCCUCACACUGUUGCGGCCUCUCCCGUUGCAGAGCACAGGCUCCGGAUGCGCAGGCCCAGCGGCCAUGGCUCACGGGCCCAGCCGCUGCUCCACGGCACGUGGGAUCUUCCAGGACCGGGGCACGAACCCAUGUCCCCUGCAUCGGCAGGCGGACUCUCAACCACUGCGCCACCAGGAAAGCCCUAAGGCACAAGUGACUUGCCGCUGACCGUCCAGCUCCAGAAGACUUUGUAGUGAUGCACUGGGAUGUCCGGUUCCUCGGGGAGAUCCCAAACGAUCGUCACAGUCAAGCUUCCGUCACUGUUUAUUGUGGAGUUUGCAAGCCGGAGGUUGGCUGGGGCCGGUGGUGCAGAUGGAUCUGAAAUCCCAGGAGAAAGACACAAGGGCCCAGGAUGACCACAAAAGCAUCGCCUCUGGACAUGGAAUGACUACAGGGUUGACGCAGGAAGACUGCCCUUGAUAUGGAGAAUAGCUGAAGAUAAGCACUAAGG